GUCAGCCGGUCUCGCGAAUGCUCUAGAUUAAAGUUUGAUCAUGGCUCAGACUCAAGCGCGUAACGGCGUGCCUAACACAUGCAAGUCGAACGGUAACAGGAAGCAGCUUGCUGCUUUGCUGACGAGUGGCGGACGGGUAGAGUAAUAGUCUGGGAAACUUGCCUAGAUGGAGGGGGAUAACUACUGGAAACGGUAGCUAAUACCGCAUAACAUCUACGGAUACAAAUAGCGUAAGCAGCUUAGAGGAGGGGGUCGCGGCUAGAUAUAGCUAAGUAUAGGCGGGGUAAUAGGCCCACCAAAGGCGGUAGAUACAGUAGCCGGCCUAGAGAGGGCGCACGGCCACACUAGGAACUGAACACGUCCAACUCCUACAGGAAGCACANAGGGGAAUUAGCGCCAAUNGGGGAAAAC
This 411-nucleotide ribosomal RNA is filed under the name uncultured bacterium. RNAcentral describes it as "bacterial SSU rRNA". It matches the Rfam family "Bacterial small subunit ribosomal RNA", at positions 1 to 382 of the family's 1533-position model. The record is from RNAcentral.